This 71-nucleotide transfer RNA is filed under the name Loxodonta africana (African savanna elephant). It matches the Rfam family "tRNA". Rfam says of the family: Transfer RNA (tRNA) molecules are approximately 80 nucleotides in length. Their secondary structure includes four short double-helical elements and three loops (D, anti-codon, and T loops). Further hydrogen bonds mediate the characteristic L-shaped molecular structure. tRNAs have two regions of fundamental functional importance: the anti-codon, which is responsible for specific mRNA codon recognition, and the 3' end, to which the tRNAs corresponding amino acid is attached (by aminoacyl-tRNA synthetases). tRNAs cope with the degeneracy of the genetic code in two manners: having more than one tRNA (with a specific anti-codon) for a particular amino acid; and 'wobble' base-pairing, i.e. permitting non-standard base-pairing at the 3rd anti-codon position. Lineage: Eukaryota; Metazoa; Chordata; Mammalia; Proboscidea; Elephantidae. The record is from Rfam by way of RNAcentral.
GCAUUGGUGGUUCAGUGGUAGAAUUCUUGCCUUCCACGCAGGAGACCCAAGUUCAAUUCCCAGCCAAGGAA